UCCCAGCCUCCUGCGUGUCCAUCACCACCACCGGCACGGCGGGCCCGUUGGCCGCCGCGGGCGCCUGCGUCGCGGGCGGGGCAGCCUCGACCACGGAGCUCCUAGUGCGGCCGCCAUCCAUGGAUGACGACGAGGAAGACGAAGACGACGUGCUGCCGCCGCCAGUCCGCAUCCGCUUGGGCUCCCGCGUGGAGUCCGUGGAGGACGGGUCGGCCGACGCCACCGCCACCGGCGAGGGGAUCGGCUUCAGGGCGUAGGUGCUGCUGGACGAGUCGACGGCGGGCGGGAGAUCGAAGUAGCCAGCACCGGCGGCGGCGCCACUUGUGACGGUGGACGAGGUGGACGCGAGCCUCGGGGCCGGCGGCGUCGUCGCGGGCGGGAGCGGCGGUGGGGGCGCGUUGAGCUCGGACAGCAUGCUCUCGAGCCAGGACGACAGGUCGGAGGGAUUGUAGUGCACGGUGUCCGUGGCGAGGUGCGAGAUGAAGCCGUCAUCAGCGGUAGCGCCGGCGCCGCCAACGCCGCCCAUCCCCAUGGCCAUCUCGAGCUGCUCCAGCUUCUGUGCGACGUCCGCCAUAUCCGACGAACGCACCUUGUAG
Molecule: long non-coding RNA, 596 nt
Filed under: Sorghum bicolor (sorghum)
Lineage: Eukaryota; Viridiplantae; Streptophyta; Magnoliopsida; Poales; Poaceae
Description: long non-coding RNA (SBIC_LNC000147)
Source: RNAcentral